AUCAGCCAUGCCGCGUGUGUGAAGAAGGCCUUUUGGUUGUAAAGCACUUUAAGCGAGGAGGAGGAGCUCUUGGUUAAUACCCAAGAUGCUUGGACGUUACUCGCAGAAUAAGCACCGGCUAACUCUGUGCCAGCAGCCGCGGUAAUACAGAGGGUGCAAGCGUUAAUCGGAUUUACUGGGCGUAAAGCGCGCGUAGGUGGCCAAUUAAGUCAAAUGUGAAAUCCCCGAGCUUAACUUGGGAAUUGCAUUCGAUACUGGUUGGCUAGAGUAUGGGAGAGGAUGGUAGAAUUCCAGGUGUAGCGGUGAAAUGCGUAGAGAUCUGGAGGAAUACCGAUGGCGAAGGCAGCCAUCUGGCCUAAUACUGACACUGAGGUGCGAAAGCAUGGGGAGCAAACAGGAUUAGAUACCCUGGUAGUCCAUGCCGUAAACGAUGUCUACUAGCCGUUGGGGCCUUUGAGGCUUUAGUGGCGCAGCUAACGCGAUAAGUAGACCGCCUGGGGAGUACGGUCGCAAGACUAAAACUCAAAGGAAAUUGACGGA
RNAcentral lists this ribosomal RNA (540 nucleotides) under Acinetobacter sp. RNAcentral describes it as "bacterial SSU rRNA". It matches the Rfam family "Bacterial small subunit ribosomal RNA", at positions 387 to 917 of the family's 1533-position model. The record is from RNAcentral. Lineage: Bacteria; Pseudomonadati; Pseudomonadota; Gammaproteobacteria; Moraxellales; Moraxellaceae.